GGUGAACCUGCGGAAGGAUCAUUACCGAUGUGAAAAAAUCCAAGGUUAAACAUCAUUAACCAACCAGUGUGAACUGUGAAACAACUCUUUAGGGGUCGGCACAGGCGUGUGUCGUUAAAUGGCGGAUAGGUUCCUUCCGCCAGCCCCGCCAUUGUGUUUAUUAUAUCACUUUGAACGUUAAAGACUGAGAACUAUGUAUCAUGCAUUAAAUGUAUGAGACAGAAGGAAAGAAAAAUGAGAGACAACUUUUGACGGUGGAUCUCUUGGCUCACGUAUCGAUGAAGAACGCAGCCAGCUGCGAUAUGUAGUGUGAAUUGCAGAAUUCAGUGAAUCAUUGAAUCUUUGAACGCAAAUGGCGCUCUUGGGUUCUCCCAGGAGCAUAUCUGUCUGAGUGUCGGAUUUUAUCGAACGCACUCGUGAGUGCGGUAUUGAGGUGUCACGGCGUGUUAGCAAGCAAGCAUUAAAUCGCCGUGUCCCUUGAAGGACAGCAGCAUUGGACUCGCAUUCUCUAUUGAAACUUGAGUGCGAAGGCUAAAGAUAAUAUUUUCCUUCGCCCAAACAUGCAAUAGCAGAAACAAAGUCCAAUCAAAGCGGUGACAGACAAUAAACAUCAAAUCUUGACCUCAGAUCAGGCAAGGCUACCCGCUGA
RNAcentral lists this small RNA (649 nucleotides) under Porites compressa. Its description in RNAcentral is "eukaryotic LSU rRNA". The stretch from base 244 to 397 matches the Rfam family "5.8S ribosomal RNA". Lineage: Eukaryota; Metazoa; Cnidaria; Anthozoa; Scleractinia; Poritidae. The record is from RNAcentral.